Non-coding RNA from Macaca mulatta (Rhesus monkey), 1155 nucleotides. The record is from RefSeq and is a predicted model, not a curated record. Lineage: Eukaryota; Metazoa; Chordata; Mammalia; Primates; Cercopithecidae.
CCGCGCCUGGCCGAAAAAACUUUGUAAGUCAAUAUUACUAUAGUUUAACAUUAGAAUGUGGACAUGUGAUUUAAUCGCUGUAGCUAAAAUACGUCAAAUAUACAUUGUCAUGUGCUUAAACAUGAUGCUAACCCUGACAGGAGGAAGGAAAGUAAUAUUCUUUCAGUGUGGUUCCGGAGAGCGUUUCUUUUAUUUUCUACCAAUUAACCCAGCAUUGCUUUUAAACAACCAUCUGAAGGAGCAGAGAGGCAGGGUAGAAGACAGAAAGGGGGUCUAUGUGGUAACUAAAGAAUGUUUCUGUUUUGUAAUUAUUGUGUGUGUGCGUGUGGUUUUUUUUUUGUUGUUUGCUUAAGAGAAUCAAAAACUGAAAAAAAUGAGAAUACAGGAAAUGGCUCUUGUAUAUAUUUUUUUGCCAUGUUUACCACUUGUGAAUGCUCUGCUGUCUUUGCUUCAAGAGAGAUUUGUUCACUGCCCAGCUCGUUUUGUGUCCUGAGCCCUAUGCCCAGCCCACCUUAUAAAUCAUGCCUGUUUAGAUGUUUGAUUUUGUUCUGUGUGCCAUUGUCAUCUUAAGGGUGUAUAACUCAGACAUGCCAGACAUCAAAUUAAGCUCAAAUUAAGCUCUCGUUUAAAUGUUUAAACACCUAAUUUAUAUUCUAAUUGAUCCCAGCCACUGAUGCAUGUACUUUAGCUACUUCUGCUAAAUAAGCAUAUUAAUUUUCCACAUCAGACCAUCAGAUCUUAAGAACCAACAGUUAUCUAGAAUUCCGUGUCUACUAAUGUUUCAUCUGCAUGCAGCCUUUAUUGAUUUUGUAGCAAAAUAUAAAGUGAUCAUUAUGUAGCUUCUAGAUUAAAAAAUUCUGUGCGUGAAGUUGCUUUGUAAAGAGCAUGUGAAAUUAAUGGGACAGCGUGUCCUUUGUGUUAGAUGUUAGAGCAAAAGAAAGGGCUUAUAGUAUUAGUAUUGGAGCACUUUGAAGAUAGGUAUUUUCAGAAACGAUGUAGGAGUUAAAAGUUACAUUUUAAAUUUUAGAAAAAGAUAUGAUGGCAAUUGGAAAUAGUCACAAUGAAGUUCUUCAUCCAGCAGGUGUUUAACAGUGUUAUUUUGCCAUUGAUAAUGUGUAAACUGUGAGUGAUUUACAAUAAAUGAUUAAGAAUUCA